GCGGAGGAUCAUUAGAAAUAUCUGGGAUGCUCAAUAUGAGUUCCCAACAAAACACAUUCAUGCGUAUUCUUCCGUGUGUUUCCCCAGGCCAAUGGCCAGUACGUACCAUCUUGGCCCAUAACAGGGUAUCCAGCUGGUGUACAGCCGCGUGUGUCUGGGAAGGCCCAAAUUGGCAAAACUUUAUGUUAACUUACUGUCUGACAAGGCCAUGUGCCCCUGUAUUUUAAAUAUUUUAAAACUUUCAACAACGGAUCUCUUGGCUCUCGCAUCGAUGAAGAACGCAGCGAAAUGCGAUAAGUAAUGUGAAUUGCAGAAUUCAGUGAAUCAUCGAAUCUUUGAACGCACAUUGCGCCCUUUGGUAUUCCUUAGGGCAUGCCUGUUCGAGCGUCACUAAAAACCCCAUCACAUUAUGUGUGGUAUUGGCAGAAGUGGGUACUCCCACCCUGCUGGAAUCAAUAGGCUGGAAAAGUAGAUCGUAGCAACAGACUUUCAGAGUGUUUUGAAAUGCUAAAUUAGUUUGAAGCUGGUCGGAACCCCAGGCCAUUUGACCCCCAUUCUGCACAAAAGCAGUAAAGGUUGACCUCGGAUCANGUAGGGAUACCCCGCUGAACUUUAGCAUAUUCAAUAA
RNAcentral lists this ribosomal RNA (628 nucleotides) under uncultured fungus. Its description in RNAcentral is "eukaryotic LSU rRNA". The stretch from base 237 to 390 matches the Rfam family "5.8S ribosomal RNA". The record is from RNAcentral. Lineage: Eukaryota; Fungi.